Molecule: ribosomal RNA, 253 nt
Filed under: uncultured bacterium
Lineage: Bacteria
Description: partial 16S ribosomal RNA
Rfam family: Bacterial small subunit ribosomal RNA
Source: RNAcentral
UACGUAGGUGGCGAGCGUUGUCCGGAUUUAUUGGGCGUAAAGCGCGCGCAGGUGGUGCGGUAAGUCUGCCGUGAAAUCUCCCGGCUCAACUGGGAGGGGGCGGUGGAGACUGCCGGACUGGAGGGACUCAGAGGCCGGUGGAAUUCCCGGUGUAGAGGUGAAAUUCGUAGAUAUCGGGAGGAACACCUGUGGCGAAGGCGGCCAUCUGGACAGUCACUGACACUGAGACGCGAAAGCGUGGGUAGCAAACAGG